GCAAUCUGCCCUUCACUCUGGGACAAGCCCUGGAAACGGGGUCUAAUACCGGAUAACACUGCGGAUCGCAUGGUCUGCGGUUGAAAGCUCCGGCGGUGAAGGAUGAGCCCGCGGCCUAUCAGCUUGUUGGUGGGGUGAUGGCCUACCAAGGCGACGACGGGUAGCCGGCCUGAGAGGGCGACCGGCCACACUGGGACUGAGACACGGCCCAGACUCCUACGGGAGGCAGCAGUGGGGAAUAUUGCACAAUGGGCGAAAGCCUGAUGCAGCGACGCCGCGUGAGGGAUGACGGCCUUCGGGUUGUAAACCUCUUUCAGCAGGGAAGAAGCGAAAGUGACGGUACCUGCAGAAGAAGCGCCGGCUAACUACGUGCCAGCAGCCGCGGUAAUACGUAGGGCGCAAGCGUUGUCCGGAAUUAUUGGGCGUAAAGAGCUCGUAGGCGGCUUGUCGCGUCGGAUGUGAAAGCCCGGGGCUUAACCCCGGGUCUGCAUUCGAUACGGGCAGGCUAGAGUGUGGUAGGGGAGAUCGGAAUUCCUGGUGUAGCGGUGAAAUGCGCAGAUAUCAGGAGGAACACCGGUGGCGAAGGCGGAUCUCUGGGCCAUUACUGACGCUGAGGAGCGAAAGCGUGGGGAGCGAACAGGAUUAGAUACCCUGGUAGUCCACGCCGUAAACGUUGGGAACUAGGUGUUGGCGACAUUCCACGUCGUCGGUGCCGCAGCUAACGCAUUAAGUUCCCCGCCUGGGGAGUACGGCCGCAAGG
This 760-nucleotide ribosomal RNA is filed under the name Streptomyces xantholiticus. RNAcentral describes it as "bacterial SSU rRNA". It matches the Rfam family "Bacterial small subunit ribosomal RNA", at positions 121 to 893 of the family's 1533-position model. The record is from RNAcentral. Lineage: Bacteria; Bacillati; Actinomycetota; Actinomycetes; Kitasatosporales; Streptomycetaceae.